This is a long non-coding RNA of Phyllostomus discolor (pale spear-nosed bat), 1084 nucleotides long. RefSeq lists it as uncharacterized. The record is from RefSeq and is a predicted model, not a curated record. The transcript has 3 exons. NCBI's taxonomy places the organism in Eukaryota, Metazoa, Chordata, Mammalia, Chiroptera, Phyllostomidae.
CAUUGAAAACAUUGAGGAAGAACAAAGAUCAUCUCUAUCUUACAGAUAAAAACCAUAAGUCAUAUUUACUAAGCAGUUACUACGCACUAGACACACUUCUAAAUACUUUACAUGUAACCAUGCAUUUAAUUCUCACAAGAAGCCCACAAAAUAGAUAUGAUUAGCCCCAAUUUAUAGGGAAGAAAACUAUUUUUAAUCACAGCAAAUCUGUAGGCCUUUUAAAACUGGAAAUUACAAUUAAACAUAUCCAAAUGGCAUAAUUGGAAUGCAUAUUUUAUGUUUUAAGAAAUCGAAGCUCUCACUAUUAGGAGGUUGAUCACAUCUUAAAGCUUGGUGACCUCAUAAUAUUUUGCUUGACUAAAAAGUGGACUUUAUAAUCUAACAAAAAGAUCCAUGUUACCCUCAUACACCAGUCCUAUCCCCCAGUCUUAUCAUGUGACCCAGGCUAUCCAGUAUCCAGGUUCUGACCCCAUGUGGAGGGAUUCUUUGCACUAAUGCCUGUGUGAAGGUGGGGCUUUCUAUUAUAUAAGGUGCCAACCACUAUCACCACUUUUGGGGACUGGUACCAUCUUUGAUGUUCAUGUGGUUAUUUUUAUUGUCACUUUUGCAUUGACAGAAUCCAGUAGAAGGCAUGGCCAUGUAUAUCAAUACAUUGCAGCCAUACCAGGAAUAUACUUUUAUUUUGUUGUUCUCUACACUAAUCAAAAUAAGUUUCAUCUUUAAUCAUAGUAGCCUACACACAUAUCCCACUUACUAAGUGCCAAGAGCUGUUGCUGACAACAACCCUACAAGGUGCAGGUACUGUUGUCAUCUCAUUUUACAGAUGAUGAAAAUAAGGCAGAGAGAAUGAAGAGAUUUUCCCAAGGUUACUUGGCUCAGAAAGGACAGGGCCAUGAUGUCAACGAGAUAUUGCAGAGCCUAUAUUCUUAACUGCCACACUAUAUGCCUUAUUAUAUAGGAAGAAUGAGGCACAUAGAGUCUCCUGAUCAGCCAAAACAACUAGGUUCUGUCAGCUAGUCAGUGAUGAAACCUAGAACCAAGGUCCAUGUCUGGCUGGCACUGAAUCCAGUACUCUUUCUACUAC